CUUGAGUACAGACUGCUACCACACUGGCUGGCUAGGUCGCUCUCUUUAUACCACUCAGCUGAGACUCUUUCCCAGCUUGCACAGCCAAUGGGCAUGUAAGCUGUUUCCAUAUACUGGCUUUUUUGAAUUGAGAAGCAAAGAAAGAGGAUGAGCAGAUAUCUCUGGCAUAGAGCACAGAGUUCUUUAGAUAUUGUGUGAUGCAUCGCUUCAAGUUUUCCUCCUCUAGACAUCCUCCUCUUGACUUCACAAUGAUGGACUGUAACCCAGAUUAAAUACCACAGAAUCAUUGGUUGAAAGAAGAGUCGCUUGAUCUAUUGGUACAAAGGAGAUAAUGAAUCACUAGUGCUUUAAAGCUAUGUAGAUAUGGAUAAGUUUAGGCCUCACUCCCCCUUAAAGAAACUUCUUUUUGCAACAAAUGGAGAACGUUACAGACAGCCAAUCAAAAACAAACUUCUGAUGGGUACAUCUAUAAAACAACCCAGCACCUAAGGUUCAAGAAACAAUGCAGAAUCAGUUCUUGAAACAGCUGCAAGAAUCAGAGCACCAACGAGUUUGCGGUGAGACUGUUUCAGAAGCUACACCCAUAGAGUCUCACCAAUAUUACUCCCUAAAUACGAGGUGAACAAGGACAAAAAAUAUACACGCCAAAGUGGUUGGGGGAGAUCCCAUGAGGCUUCAAAUCUACAUAAGCAACUACAGGAUACUAAGAAAAGCCAAGAGUGAGAGAAAUAAUCUUCUCAGGAGAGAGCACACCCAUCACAGCCCUUAAUGCAUAUUUAUGAGGAGCAUAAUAGAAAUGGAGUCAUAUUGAGGAAUGUACAAAACAAUUAGUGAAAAAAGAGACCAUGCAUUUGAACAAAAGCAAGGAAGGGUAUAUAUCAGGUUUGAAGAGCAUAAUAGGAAGGGAGAAAGCUGUAAUUUUAUUAUAAUAUCAAACAUAAAAGAAAAAUGUAAAGAAGGUGAUGUUCUAUAGGGAAGUAAAGCAUUUCAACCAUUGGGGAAGCUUACUUAGCUUAGGAAACAAACCCAAGUAAAGUUUUAGGAAGUCCUGAAAAUCCACAGCCAGAUGCUCUAAGCUCCAUCCUCUCCAGCAUAUAUGAACUGUAAAUACUUUUAAGUGACUUUCAAAUACCUGCGAGAAGCCAGCCUUCUCAGAAGAACCAGAGACCCAUCUUUCUAGAACAGACUCAGACAACCUGGGCUGUCUGUACAGGACACUGUCCAACCAGUUUAACUGUCUGUAGGUUGUGCAGUACGCUUCCUGUUUCCAGGUGGGCCCUCACACUUGCUGAGGUAGACUUUGUUUUUGCAUCAUUUCUGCUGCUGUAGGUAUCCUGUACUCCAUAUUCCUGCAAGUAACCCCAAUAAAACUUUUGGAAUCAAUAAGUUGGACUUUGGUGGUAUUUAUAAUCAGAACUAUUGUUGAUUCUUUCCUGGGAUGCAUAGAUGCUGUCCAUUGUUAUAUUUGCUGUCACAAAUCAUGGCAUGAAUUAAAAUUCCCUCAAGAUCAGCAGUGGAUAUAACCAUUUAUUUAUUUAUUUUAUAUGUUCAUAUAUAACAUAGACAAAAAUUUGAAACUACUGUUUUUAGCUUUAUG
This is a non-coding RNA of Cricetulus griseus (Chinese hamster), 1597 nucleotides long. The record is from RefSeq and is a predicted model, not a curated record. NCBI's taxonomy places the organism in Eukaryota, Metazoa, Chordata, Mammalia, Rodentia, Cricetidae.